AUGUCAUGUUCAUGGGUUCAUGGACCAUUCAGAAAUCUGAUAGUGGAGGGAAAGAAGCUAUUCCUGAAAGCAGUCGACUUAAAACUGAAGUAGAAGAUAAUGCAUCACAAAGUUCCAAAUGUUAUGUAAAGCUUCCAUUUUCUAAAUAGAUUCUUACUUUCGUAUGUUCUGAUCCAGGCCAAAUGCAACGUUUGGUCCACUUGGCUCUUCAUUGCCCAUAACUCUGAAUGUCUAAUUUAUUUCUCACUGCCUUUUGAUUGUCAGCAUUUCUGUUUUAGAUCAUGAAGGUAGCAGCUGAGCCCAAAGCUAAGAGGAAAAAUCAGAGACACAAGAGACUGUAGAUAUUGGAGUCUGGAGCAAUAAGCAAUCUAUUGGAGGAACUCCAGAGCUCAAGGACCAUCAAUGGGGGGGAGAACAAUUUGACAAUGUAUAAACUUUGACUGCCUAAUGACCGAUCGGUGCACCAUUUCCCAGCCUCAGAAGAUGCUCACAGUCUGUAGAGAAAUGCCAGGAACACAGCUUCGCAACCAGAGGGUGUUUGUUUCCAUGGCAAUGCUCACCAGAUUCCAGCGAUGAAGAAUAAUUCAAAAGCACCAAUGAUAGAGGGGGCCCAACUCAACUCAAACUUUGGCAAUUAAGUUGGAAUGUUCGGACAUCGUAUCAGGUGAAGGGUAAGUGGGCUGAUAUCAUCUCUGAAGGAAAGCAUCAUUAAUCUGCAGAACCUAACUCAUUGGUACAGUAGGAUAGUGUUUAGCCUAAUGUUUUACAGAACCAGUGACCCUGGUUCAAUUCUGCCAAUGUUUGCAAGGAGUAUCUACAUUCUCUUCAUGACUCUUUGAGCUUCCUUUAGGUACUCUGAUUUUGUCCCACAUUACUGAGAUGUAUCGGCGAGUAGGUUUUAUGGACACAUGGGUAUAAUUGGGUGGUGUGGGCUCGUUGCACUGGAAGGGCCUGUUACUGAGCAGAAAAUCAAACAAACAAAUAAAUAAAUAAUAGAUGGAUAGAUAGAUAAAUAAACAUCAUGUUAGAAUGAAGAAAGAUGUUAAAACCACCUGCCCACCAUGAGAAGGUACUCAAGACCCUUUCCUAAUCCCUUCCAUUUUCCACCUACUUGAACCAUAUGCCGGUAUCAAAAAACAAUAUCCAAUAACACUGCACAACUAGUGAAUGGUUAGUGACCAAACAUUCCCCUCAGAGAAGAGGCUAUGUAGCAUCUACAUCUGGAGCACCCGACUCAAAGGUAGUUACUUUCCCCAAGCAUUAAGGCACAUAGGGGAAUCAUAGGCAUGUGGGAGCAGUUAAUAGGCAUCAGAGAGGGAUUGGUUUAUAGAAUGCAAUAGAGGAUGAGGGAAUGGCCCUGAUGGGAAAUCUCUGAAGGUGGCAUAGAUCUGAGGGGGCAAAUACCCUCUUUCUCUGUCAUAGGUCACGUACUAUCCGCAACAGGACCACCAGACUCAAAAACAGUUGCUUUUCCCAAGCAGUACGGUUAAUCAACACUCCCUCACACUAACCUACCACUUAUUUAUAAUUUCCUAUCAGUCACCUUAUGUUCAGACACUCUUGAACCUAGUGUCACUUUAUGUGUGUACAUAUAAUCAACCUAUGCAUAUAAACUAUCUUAUGGAUAUAUAUUCAUUGUUUUAUUUAUUACUGUGUUCUAUAUCUUAAUGUGAAAUUUUAUGUGCUGCAUCAUAUUCAGAGAAACAAUUAUUUUUUUCUUCUUUACACUUGUGCACUGGAAAUGACAUUAAACAAUCUGAUAUGAAUGAAUGACCUGGAAGACUUUGGCUUCAAGACAAUUAAGUAACAUUAUAUUCCUCAUCACUACACCAGGUCCCAAGACCAGUGCUUUUGGUUCACAUUUUACAUUCAAUUUGAAUGGUAAUUCAAAGGCUUAUGUAGUAAGGAGGGGUUGGUGAAGGGGUUUUCAUACCCAGAUCUCAGUACAUGACAAAUCUGAAUUGUCCAAAGCUCCAAUUUUGAGACUGGAAUAAUCUGGAGCAGGGUUUGAACCCAGCAUCUAUGUCAUCUGGCAUAUUCUUACAUACAGUAGAAGAGCAAAAGAAACAUUACUCUAGCUCCAUGACCCUCAUUCUCUUUGUGAUCACUUAUAGACAGUAUACAAUUGGUCAUUUUAGGUGCAUCGCCACCCACAGCUCUAAUCUGCUAAUUAAAUUUGCUGAUGACACUACAUUGAUUGACCUAAUUUCAAACAAUAACGAGGUGACCUACAGGGAAGAAGCCACCUCUCUGACACAGUGGUAUCAAGAAAACAACCCCUCCCUCAAUGUCGCAAAAACAAAGAAGCUGGUUAUGGAUUACAAAAGGAAUGGAGACUGGCUAACCCCUAUUGACAUCAAUGGAUCUGGGGUUGAGAAGGUAAACAGCUUUAAAUUCCUUGGCAUAAACAUCACUGAGGAAUUCAUGUGAUCUGUACACGGUGGUGCAUGGUGAGAAAGGCACAACAGCACCCCUUUCACCUCAGACGGUUGAGGAAGUUUGGCAUGAGCCCCCAAAUCCUAAGAACUUUUUACAGGGGCACAAUUGAGAGCAUCCUGACUGGCUGCAUCACUGCCUGGCAUGGGAACUGUACUUCCCUCAAUCACAGGACUCUGCAGAGAGUGGUGUGGACAGCCCAGCGCAUCUGUAGAUGUGAACUUCCCAUGAUCCAGGACAUUUACAAAGACAGGAGUGGAAAAAGGGCCUAGCGGAUCAUUGGAGACCCGAGUCACCCCAAACACAGUCUAUUUCAGCUGCUAUCAUCUAGGAAACGGUACCGCAGCAUAAAAGCCAGGACCGACAGACUCCGGGACAGCUUCUUCUACUAGGCCAUCAGACUGAUUAACUCAUGCUGAUUUGAGUGUACAUAAUUCUAUGUUACAUUGACUGUUCUAUUUAUAAUAAGUUAUUAUAGAUUACUAUGAUUGCA
This is a long non-coding RNA of Hypanus sabinus (Atlantic stingray), 2929 nucleotides long. RefSeq lists it as uncharacterized. NCBI's taxonomy places the organism in Eukaryota, Metazoa, Chordata, Chondrichthyes, Myliobatiformes, Dasyatidae. The transcript has 3 exons. The record is from RefSeq and is a predicted model, not a curated record.